Molecule: long non-coding RNA, 1386 nt
Organism: Motacilla alba alba
Lineage: Eukaryota; Metazoa; Chordata; Aves; Passeriformes; Motacillidae
Exons: 4
Source: RefSeq, a predicted model, not a curated record
CGCGCCCGCCGGCGACCUUACCGCCUCCACGGCGUGCUGCAGGAUGGAGGUGAACUUGGAGAACAUCCUGUCCCGCGACUGCAGCAGUCGCUGCCGGGAGGACCUCGAGAGCUCCUCGAUCCGCCGCCGCCGCCGCUCCAGGGCAUGGAGAGCUACAGCCCAAAUACUCUAUGGAAGUAAAUACUAGUUGUAUGUGGACACCUUUAUUGCAGUUGUUAAAGAGCAGAGCUAUUCCCUUCUCAAAAUCCAGGAGUCUCAAUAUGUCAAUUUAAAAGAAGAAGUUCCUGCAGUCUGGAUUUUUGCUUCAGAGAGCCUGAAGAUUUGGUGAAUUUUUUUUACCCUAGAUGAAAAUUUUCCUUGACUGCUUGGAUGAAAUAAAGAAUGAAGUUUUAGUGGUUCAGCAUGGUCUCUGCUUUUGAGGAGUGCUAAGAAGAUAUUCAACAUCAUUUUCAGACCUUUCUGAUGCUGGGCUUUACUACAGAAAGGAUGCUGCACAUCCACACUGAAGAGGAUGCAGAGGAAUUGAAGUCAUAUUCUGUCAUGAAUUUUCUGGUUCUGUGCUCUCAGCUGUGUACAUCACCUCCCUCCUUGCUGAUUCGCUCGCAGCUCCAUGUAAUCAGCUCAUGCAGUAUUGCAUAAAUCCCAUUUUCAGGCAUUUCCUGGCCAGUGCAUUCUGUUCCACAUCUGCACAUCUGCUCUUUCUGUGGAGACAUUAAUUUGUCUUCUGCUGGGUUACAAACUUCCCAGUCAUUCAUGUGUUAUCUGAAUGCUUACCUGUCAUAUCUGCAAGAGUCUCCUGACACCAGCACUCAUUGCUACCACAGAGGACACAACACUGGACAAAUACUGCCUGCCCAGCAGCUAUUCCUUGUUGGUGCUUCAGUUACACUCUCUUGCCACCCUGCUUUACCUUAUGUAAUGCUUCUAAAUGAGACCACUAGGAGGUCAGAAGUACAUGUUGUCAGUAAAAUGAGACAUUUCUUUUCAAAUCACAUCAUAUUUUCCUCAAGUAUUUCUGUUCCACUGUAACCAUUAAAAUCCAAGCUUUCCUCUAUGAGUAAAUAUGUGGAUGUUCUGCCAUACAGUAUCUGAAAGUGCUAACAUAUCAUGAAUUAUGGAAAGCAGAUAAAAUACCCUCAGAUGUGAUCAGAGUUUAACCAAUUUCACUGCAGGCUGGCAGGAGUACAAGGAUACUUUUCUUGUGGUAGUGGAAGCCAAAGCAAGGAGAUUAAAGAUAAACUACUCGGUUUAUGCUAUAUUGCAACUGUAAUGAAUGCAAGGGUCUGAAUGUGUUAUAAAUAAACAUAAAACUGGAUUUUGCCUUUAAAUACUGGAGAAAAAAAAAAAAAAAAGAGUGGUCUACCUGAUAUAAAUUGGUUCCCUCAA